Long non-coding RNA from Brienomyrus brachyistius, 1642 nucleotides. RefSeq lists it as uncharacterized. Lineage: Eukaryota; Metazoa; Chordata; Actinopteri; Osteoglossiformes; Mormyridae. The transcript has 5 exons. The record is from RefSeq and is a predicted model, not a curated record.
UGGUGUGCAGCCAAAGGGUGCAUUUCAACCCUGCAGUAUGAUUACUCUGGAUGGAGGCCAGCUCCCUCUCUCUCCCUCUCUCUCUCUCUCUCUCUCUCUCUCUCUCACACACACACACCCUCCCCCUCCCUCCCUGAGCUCCCCCCACCCCUUUCCGUCUCCCAGCCUUCAAAGGCCUUCUGCCAAACACGCAGGGGUUGCCAUGGCAGCAGAAACUGGAACAGAAAAAAAAACACAGUAAUGAGGUAGGCUUGGGUCCAGAUGUGCCACAUGUGUGAGUAUUAACGAUCCACUUCGCGCACAGCUGCCCGUCAAGAGAGACAAUCAGUACCGAACUGGAAAAAAAAAAUCAGUUUUGCGUAAAUUAUGAAGAAAAAACACACCCAGAAUAGCCCUUCUGUGACAAUGUUAAAUAAGACUAAGAGCCAUUUGCAAAUUAUGUGGUUUAGCCAAAGCUGCUGGGACAGUUUCAAUAUUGAUCAGGCAGCAGAGACAGCCUCCCCCCCACAUAAACAUGCCCCAUUAAUAAAUCCAAAAUGGGGACAUGGAUUUUAGUGCUUUGUUGUUCAGGGUUUGCUGUGUGUUUCUCCUGCGCAGUCAUCUCAGCGCAGCGAACCCAGACCAUCUGAGGCCCUGGUUACCGAGGGAAAUGACGGCGCGGCCGGAUACCCCAGGAGCUGGAACAACACAGCCGAGCACAUAAAGUCCCCAAAGCAGCGUUUCACGUCACUCAGGUCACUGCUUACUUCCUGUAAGCUGCCAGCUACCUAGGGGUGGGGGCAGGCUUGGGACCGAAGGGGACGUCAGCAGUUUAUACAGUGCUCCGAGAUGGGAGAGCUGGUGCCGGUGGCCCCGGUAGGAGGGGGAUGGGGGCCCCGCCUGCUGUCGUGCAGCUGUCACCGGACACCGUGUCCCCAAGUCGGUGUCACGCUCAGCCACGGAGGGUUUUCUUCCCCCAGAUGCCGGUAGCUUCCGCACGUGACAGCAUGUGGAAAAGCAGUCGUCGCGUCGCACACACACUCCAUGCUGCAGUGGCAUUUCCUAAUGGAUCACGAGAGAGAGGGAGAGGGAAGGAGAGAGGAGCGUCAAUGGAUUCAGCUGCUCACACACACUGCUCAGACUUCCAGUGCAUUUCAACAUGGGCCUGAAUGCAGUGGGGUGCAGGAAAAGCCGCAGUCUUGCUGCUGGAACAGGAGUGACAGCCCCCCAUUUCAGCAGGCCUCUCACUACGAUAACCUCACAGUGCUGCCGUCACGAUGAAACUAUUCGUUUGAAUUAUAAUUGCGCCCAGAUGUGAAAGAAGGACCUUCCAGAACUGAAAGAAAUGAAUGAAACAACUUCCUGAGCAGAAUGUUCUCACGCUUUCCAUGGACCCGGGAUCCUCCUACUAAUUUCUUAGAGUCACACAAACUGGAAGUUAAGGCCCAGUGACAUUCACACUCUCACGUCUGGCACUUCAUGGGUCCCUUCGUCAGCUUUAACGAACUUCUGUGCCGCUGUGUCAACACUCGAGCGGGGUUCCUGCAUGGACCUGCUGUGUGCUGUACUCUCUUAUCGCUUGAAAUCCCAUGGUCACACCCUAUUAGGUGCGAAACCUGUUUCGCCUGCAUGACAUUAAAGCCUGUGUGUGCCCAGAAAAAAA